CUCCUGUACUGCAGUUCCUCCUCCCCCUCCUCUCCGUAGGUUCUUCCCUCUUCUUCAAGACAAACAGCAGCAAUUGCAAGGGUGGCAUGGCUCCAAAGAAAGAAAUGCAGCAGGUUCUGUCAGCAGGCUUUGAUUAUCAUCCGCAUCAGGAUUCAGCAGACCAAAGUAUUCAGGUGAAACUUAUGGAUGUCCCUAUCUGAUCCAAGUUUUUCUGACCUGAGUAAAGGAUGUUAGUUCGUUUCGAACUCUUUCUGACCUUAGUGCCGUGCAUCAGGAUGUUGUUUGUUCUAUUUCUGGUUGUUUUUUAGCACAGCUCUAGAACCCGGGAAAUGGCAUGUUACUACUGGCCGGCGCUAAGGACAAGUUGCCCAUAGAGGAUCUUGAUAAGCAUAAACAGCAGGAGGACACAUGAUAGACCAAGCAAUCACAGCAGGAGAAGCACAAGUCAUUGCUCCACAAGCACAAGGUCUACUCCUGAUGACGAUACCAGAAAAUCUGCCGGGUGCGGGCUUGUUGUUGCUGUGUUGUUGGGGGCGAGGCAAAGAGAAGAUAUAAGAAAAGGACAAUUAUGGUUAUAUGGCUUGAACCACUUAAAGGUUUGAGGACCCAAAUCUGCACUUUCACAGCAUAGGGACUGAAGUGACAUUUGCAGUGCAAAUUUCGACAGUGCAUUUUACUCCUAAUAAUAAACUCUUGUGAUAUGGUCUCAAUGUAACUAAAUUCACCUCAAUUGACGAUCACAAUAGCAGAGUAGUGAAUUCAAUAUCAAUACUGGCAGUCCUGUUCGUGAAUUUUACUUAGGCCUCUCAAAGUGCAAAUAUCAUACAAGCGUCAUGCAAUGGUGCCUAAGCAAGAAGAUGAUGUGGCAAGCAAUUAAGGAUAUGGGAGAAAAUUCUAGUAUCAAAUAAUGAGACGGUACCAAAGCGCGUCAAACAAGAAAAGUCAAUAAGAAAUAAAUCCUAUCCACAACUUUAUAUUGGGAUUCUACAAUAAAUAAAUGAAACGGCAAUAUAACACCAGUGUACGAUACUAUGUAAUGUGAAUGAAGAAACUAAAGUAGUAUCAUGCACUAUGAUACGGGUACAUGACACUAAGCAUUGCAACUGGACUUAGCUACCAAACUUAGGUCGACAUCAAUUUGUGUACUUAGAACAAAGUGAUAUUUUACUUGCAAUGUAAGUCCCCCGCAAUCAAUAUGUUAUACUGUAACAUACCUGUGGGAGGUCUGACACUGAAUCUCUCAAUCGUUUACCACAAGGAAGAGAUUUACCAUCUUCUCGACAGAGAAGCCAGUCGUCUCUUUUGGGCGUACAAGUAAUUGAUCCAUCUGCAACACAUCCAUCAUAUAUGGUUACUCUAAGGAGAAUAUACAUAGAAAUCUAAGGCGGGCACAAUUUGAGGUUACAUUGUUUGCCGGUUAUUGGUCAAUAAUAAUAGGUAAUGUAACACAAAAAAUACAUGAUAGAUAGAUGUCUUCAGUCCUUAAAAACUCUAUGUUGCCUAGAAAUAGGGGCCUGUGAGCGCUCCGGGUAUUGCACUCGGGUGGACCCCGAAGGUCAGCAGGAUUAAGCACCGGUGCCAUCUGGCUCCAGCCCGCAUUUCACGUGUCGCUCAUGUGGGAUUUCUUUGUCUUCACAUAGCUUCCACGCUCUGUUGUUUUCCUAGGAGGAGAGGAAGAGCGGUUUGGCAAGGGAGUGAAGCUAGCGCCGCCUACGGGUUCGGUGGGAUGCUGGACAUGGUCGGCUCCUCUGCCCUGUACCUGCUACCUGCUCCUGGAAAGGUUUGCCGGCAUACUUGCUCCGUUCGCUUUGGAUCCGUGUGGCGGACCGGCGUAAUCUUUAUUGAUCGGAUGGCAGAGGUCACCUGGUGGUGGUUCAGGGCACUCUCCUGAUGGCAUUGGAUUUCCCAGUGGGUUCUAUCGGUGGCCAUCAUUAUGUUUCUGCUCGGGUUAGGGUCGUGUUUUGCGGCAGCAAAUAGGGCUGUGGGGCUGCGCUGCAGCGUGUGCAGACAGUUAUGUUGUUGCGUUCUCGCCUGCAUUGGAUUGGGCUUGGGGCUUUAUGUACUGUGGAGUCUAUGUUGUAGCAUGGGCGGAAGUUUGCGCUGAUGUGGGGCGCCAAUGUGCUCUGUGUUUGUGUGGAUGUUGUAUAUUUUCGUUCGUUUCUUUACUGGUGUUGGCGUCCUGCGUUAGUUCCUUUGUGGUGUUGGAGAAGUUCACCUUCUUGUGUGGUGAUGUGGGUGUUGUGUGUUUCAGUUGUGCUUUGAUGGAUAGUCAUCAGACAGACUGUGGAGCACAAUUACUGAUGUCAUAUGCUCGACAUGUAUUUCGGUUCCUUGAUGCUCUUAUAACGAUGAAAAGGAUAUGUAAGCUGUCCAGAGUUCCUUCAUUA
This is a long non-coding RNA of Hordeum vulgare subsp. vulgare (domesticated barley), 2387 nucleotides long. RefSeq lists it as uncharacterized. The transcript is spliced from 2 exons. Lineage: Eukaryota; Viridiplantae; Streptophyta; Magnoliopsida; Poales; Poaceae. The record is from RefSeq and is a predicted model, not a curated record.